Non-coding RNA from Musa acuminata subsp. malaccensis (wild Malaysian banana), 3225 nucleotides. NCBI's taxonomy places the organism in Eukaryota, Viridiplantae, Streptophyta, Magnoliopsida, Zingiberales, Musaceae. The record is from RefSeq and is a predicted model, not a curated record.
AUUGGAAGAAGCCUUAUUCUCGCAGCAGCAUCCCUUAAACUGCGCCCGGGGACCUAUUUUAGUUCACCCUUUCUCCUGUGGCGCGCGGCGCGCCUAUAAAUUCUCCAAAUUCUUUAUCCGCUGUGUCCUUCUCGUUUCACCCCAUUUCUCUCUCUCUCUCGCUCCCUCCUAAUCCUUACGGCGGAGGAGGAGCCUUCGCCUCGCCCUCCCAUCGAGAUCCGCCCGCCAUAAAGGUUUCCGUUCCGAUCCGACCCGAUCAUGGAGAGGGAGAGAACACGGGCCCGGUGGAGGCGGGCACUGGCGGCAGUGAUGGCGCCCCGACCGGCGGAGGCCGAGGAGGACGUGGCGGCUGACGAGGAGUUGGAGGAGCCGAUGGGGUCGUCGCGCGGCAGCCUCAUCGCGCUCCUGGCGUCCGACCUCCGGCUCGGCAUCGCCUGCAGGCCCAGCGGCGAGAAGUUCCUCGAUCGCUUCGUCAUCCUCCCUGAUAACUGGUGGUACCAGUUAUGGACGCAGUUCAUAUUGUUGUGGGCGGUGUACUCGUCCUUCUUCACGCCGAUGGAGUUCGGUUUCUUCCUUGGGCUUCCGAAGAACCUAUUCCUUCUCGACGUCGCUGGACAGGUCGCCUUCCUCGUCGACAUCUUCGUCCAAUUCCUCCUCGCCUACCGGGAUCCCCACACGUACCGCAUGGUACGCAACCCCACGGCCAUUGCCUUGCGGUACAUGAAAUCGAACUUUGUUUUUGAUUUGCUCGGCUGCCUUCCUUGGGAUUAUAUUUAUAAGGCUUCAGGAAAUAAAGAAGAAAUAAGAUACCUACUGUGGAUUCGAUUAACUCGGGUUCGCAAAGUCACAGCUUUUUUUCAGAAGAUGGAGAAGGAUAUUCGCAUCAAUUACUUGUUCACAAGAAUUGUUAAACUUAUAGUUGUGGAACUCUAUUGCACACAUACAGCUGCCUGCAUUUUUUAUUACCUAGCAACCACUCUGCCUGAAUCUAUGGAAAGUUAUACGUGGAUAGGAAGCUUAAAGCUGGGUGAUUACAACUAUAACCAUUUCAGAAAGAUUGAUCUUUGGAGGCGCUACAUAACAUCAUUAUAUUUUGCCAUAGUAACCAUGGCAACUGUUGGUUAUGGAGACAUACAUGCAGUCAAUCCCAGAGAAAUGGUAUUUAUUAUGAUCUAUGUCUCUUUUGAUAUGAUUCUGGGAGCUUAUCUUAUUGGUAAUAUGACUGCACUGAUUGUGAAAGGAUCAAAAACAGAAAGGUUUAGAGACAAAAUGAAAGAUCUUAUACGAUACAUGAACAGAAACAGAUUAGGGAAGGACAUACGUGACCAGAUUAAAGGACAUGUGCGCUUGCAGUAUGAAAGCAGCUAUACUGAAGCUUCAGUUCUCCAAGAUAUUCCAGCUUCAAUUCGUGCGAAGAUUUCUCAAACUUUAUACAGACCGUGCAUUGAAAAUGUUCCACUCUUAAAGGGAUGCUCAUCAGAAUUCAUAAAUCAGAUUGUAAUCAGGCUGCAGGAAGAGUUUUUCCUUCCAGGUGAACUGAUUCUGGAACAGGGCAAUGCAGUUGACCAGCUAUAUUUUGUUUGCCAUGGUGUUCUGGAAGGAAUAGCGGUUGGUGAAGAUGGAUCAGAAGAGACUGUUACGCAAUUAGAGCCCAGCAGCUCAUUUGGAGAAAUUGCCAUUCUUUGCAACAUUCCUCAGCCUUAUACAGUUCGUGUCUGUGAACUCUGUAGACUCUUACGUCUUGAUAAGCAACUUUUCACAAAUAUUCUGGAGGUGUAUUUUGUGGAUGGUAGGACAAUAUUGAGUAACCUUCUUGAGGGAAACGAAUCUACUUUGCGUAUCAAACAACUGGAAUCCGAUAUCACAUCUCAUAUCGGAAAGCAAGAAGCCGAACUUGCUUUAAAGGUUAAUAGUGCUGCUUACUAUGGAGAUCUGCGUCAUCUAAAAGGUCUGAUAAGAGCGGGAGCUGAUCCGAAGAAGACAGACUAUGAUGGGCGUUCACCUUUGCAUCUUGCAGCUUCAGGAGGGUUUGAAGACAUCACAAUAUUCCUCAUUAGAGAAGGCGUAGAUAUCAACCUUUCUGAUAACUUCGGAAACACGCCACUGUUAGAAGCUGUGAAGCAUGGUCAUGACCGGGUGGCUUCUUUACUCCAUAGUAAAGGGGCCAAACUACAUCUUAAAGAUGCUGGCAGCCAACUUUGUGCAGCUGUUGCAAGAGGAGACUCAGAUUUUAUUAGAAGGAUUUUGAACUAUGGAGUAGAUCCAAACUCAAGCGAUUAUGAUCAUCGUACACCACUCCACAUAGCUGCUGCUGAUGGAUUAUAUUCUAUUGCAAAAAUACUUUUAGAAGCUGGGGCAAGUGUUUUUGCUAUUGACAGGUGGGGAAGUACUCCAUUAGAUGAAGCAGUAAAAUGUGGAAGCAAAUCGUUGAUGAUGAUGCUGGAAGAUGCAAAGCUUGAAGAGCUCUCCAAGUUUCCUGAUCGUGGUACACAAACUCAAGACAAAACCCAACCCCGGAGGAGAUGCACGGUGUUCCCUUUCCACCCAUGGGACCCAAAAGAAAAGAGAAAGGAGGGAGUAGUGCUGUGGGUACCUCUCACCAUGGAAGAACUCAUCGAGUCCUCGCAAGAGCUGCUAAACUGCUCAGGCUCACGAAUUCUAUCAGAGGAGGGAGGGAGGAUAUCUGAUGUAGCCAUGAUAUGUGACAACCAGAAGCUGUACCUUGUUGCAGAUUAAGACACUGCUACGAAGAAUAACCAGCUCAGUUGCCCUACAUUAUUAACACAGAGGUACGCAGUGGUGACAGGAAUUAAAGACAGUAUCAACUUGUUCGAUUCAAGGCAUUGGAAAACAACAUAAAAUAGACAGGAACUGUGAAGAACAUAUUGAACCGUAAGGUUGAUGUUAUAACGGUGGCUGAAAGUGAGAGAAAGCGUGGACUCUGAGGUGGAUGGAAACAUACCUGUAAAGUACGUACGUAGGGAUAGCAGCGGAGUGCUUCUUUUUGGGUAUUCGCACCUACCUACGAGUCCAUUUAUUGUUCUCAUUAAUCUAUGUUUUCAAUGAAUAUGUCGAGUAAAAUAAACAUUCAAAUCGGGUGGGUUUAGAAUUGGUUCACAAACUCAAGUAGUGUUCGAGUUCUGAAAAAAAGGAUAUGAUGAAACUAACGAGUUCUUUAUUGGUCGUCAAUCCUAAUUACAUGAUGCAAAUAUAUUCUUCAAAAUU